RNAcentral lists this long non-coding RNA (523 nucleotides) under Nicotiana benthamiana. RNAcentral's name for it is "long non-coding RNA (NBEN_LNC031395)". The record is from RNAcentral. Lineage: Eukaryota; Viridiplantae; Streptophyta; Magnoliopsida; Solanales; Solanaceae.
CCUGUUAUCGCCUCGGAAUUAGUUUGGUGGAAUGUGUUCUUCCUUUCAACUGUGUUCCAUGCUGCACCUUGGCAGUUGUAUACUCCAAGCACACCAGUGUAUUUGUUCAUGUUCCAUAUCUUCAAGAGGCUGAAACACAUUAGUAGAUUAGUUAGAUACUAUUCACCCCAUUGCAAUCAAAUCAAAAAGCAGUUCACUGCUCACUUCCAGCCAAAUAAACACCAUACUUAGAACUUCAAAAGAGUAGCGGCGAAGAAUCUAAUUUGCACCUCUUUGUGGUUAAAGUACAAAAUCAUUACACCCUUUUUCUUCUUUUUUUUUUGCAUAUGUAUAUUUGGUUCGAGUCUGAAGCAAUGGAUAUACUAGUUUUGUUUUCACAAAACACAUCAUAAGAUUAGUUAGAUAUAGUUCACGCCAAUGCAAUCAAAUUACAGGCCGUUCACUGGCUAGAAACUUGCCAAACCAAAGAGCCCUUGAGCCAAAACAUCAAUCAAUAGCAUCGAUUUUGAAAAUGAAAUGCUUA